AGUAAUGACUAAACAACCUACUGAAGAUACCAAUGUCCAUUCAAAUCCCUGCAUAUAGACAGUUUGAGCAUAAACACACAAAGUAAGACACCAAGAUUUCAAAUGUCUUAAUCACUAUGCUAGUCCACAUGUAUAUAUGACUGUAACGUAAUCACCAUGGUCCAUUAAACUUAGUCCAAACAUCAGAGUGUGUGUGAAAUAGUUCCACUCAUGGGUCUUUAGAUCAGCAUUAACUGAGAUGAGAGAUGAUAUAUCAUACAGUUCAGGAGAGCAGAGGUCACAUCCAUCCUUAUAGCACCAAGAACAACAUUGUUCAAAAUCAGAGACAAUUUUUUCGAUUAAUUUAAUUAGAUAUUAGUUUAAUAGCCAAUCUGAAAAAUCGUCCUCAUAGGUUCAUAUAGCAAGAGGGUUGCCAUUGACUCCCUAACCAGAUGGUCUUGGGGCAAUAGGUGUAACAAAGACACUCAAUAGGACAACCAACUUGAACCCAUAGAAGGAUAGAAUGCAUUUCAGGAAUCCUCACUGAGUCAUGUAUCAAGUGAGAGAUCAACUAGUCCAAGAUAUGAUUUGUGAAUUUCAUUUACACUUCAAGAUCACUAAACCAAUCUCAUUUCUGCCCACCCUUAUAUCGCUCAUCACGACCAAGGAAUGUAUACUUUGAGACUAGCCUAGAGUGGAGCAAAACGCUCAACACACCACCUCAUCAAACCAACCUCGUUUCUUCCCACCCUUAUAUCGUUCGUCACGACCAAGGAAUGUAUACUUUGAGGCUAGUUUGGCAUAGAAACUCUUUGCAUCAACUCAUCUCAAGUUUAUAACUUUGCACUUUGUAACCCACAAAGUUGACUAUGUGAAGCAUGUAGUUUCUUAAGUCUUUCAAAGCUUAUCAGACCACAUAUGAGAAAUAAUGAUCAAUAAGAUGCAAGCAUACAUGUGUACAAGAGAGCAACUAAGACAAGUGAAACUCAAACACUCACUUAAGUCAAGAUCAAAAACUGUCCAAGGAUAUCAUAUCACACAGGUAUCCUGAAAACUAAUACUGGAAAAUAAAGACACAUAUUUUUGAUUUUU
Molecule: long non-coding RNA, 1071 nt
Filed under: Fragaria vesca (wild strawberry)
Lineage: Eukaryota; Viridiplantae; Streptophyta; Magnoliopsida; Rosales; Rosaceae
Description: long non-coding RNA (FVES_LNC004457)
Source: RNAcentral